GGUCCUUUGCAGCUCAGUUGGUAGAGCAUGGUCCUUGUAAGACCAGGGUAGUGGGUUCAAUUCCUGGGACCA
RNAcentral lists this transfer RNA (72 nucleotides) under Salmo salar (Atlantic salmon). It matches the Rfam family "tRNA". From Rfam's summary of the family: Transfer RNA (tRNA) molecules are approximately 80 nucleotides in length. Their secondary structure includes four short double-helical elements and three loops (D, anti-codon, and T loops). Lineage: Eukaryota; Metazoa; Chordata; Actinopteri; Salmoniformes; Salmonidae. The record is from Rfam by way of RNAcentral.